Molecule: long non-coding RNA, 101 nt
Organism: Dipodomys spectabilis (banner-tailed kangaroo rat)
Lineage: Eukaryota; Metazoa; Chordata; Mammalia; Rodentia; Heteromyidae
Exons: 3
Source: RefSeq, a predicted model, not a curated record
GAAUCUGGAACAGGAAGAUGUUGCUCCCCAGGUGCUGCAGGUUGAGUAUCAGGCCGAAGAAGGCUAUGACUAGUGCCAUUCUGAAAAAGCUCCUUUUCCAG